RNAcentral lists this long non-coding RNA (1121 nucleotides) under Bemisia tabaci. RNAcentral's name for it is "lncRNA ENSSWEETPG004349". Lineage: Eukaryota; Metazoa; Arthropoda; Insecta; Hemiptera; Aleyrodidae. The record is from RNAcentral.
UAAACGUUCUCCCAAUGGAAGUAAUACAUCACUUGUUGUAAGACAUGCUAAAUUAAAAAUCAAUGGAAAAAAUGAAACAUAUUUCAUCAUUAUACUAACACAUGAAUUAAGAGGCAGAAAGUUUCCAACUUGGACCACAUAGAGAAUUUAAAAGGUCAUAUUCAAUUAUACAUGAGGGAGAAUUACAAUUCACUUGACAAAUGAGUACCUUGCGAAACAUAUUUUCUGUAUAAAACGCUUUACAUUCUAAGAAAGAAUUGCCCUGAAAAUUGACAUAUAAGCUCGAAUUAGAUACCAGACUACAGAUUGUAAUGAAUCCACAACGUCCCCGAUAACUUUGGAGUAAGAUUGGUUUUCAUUAAAAUCUACAGAUCUUCCUGCCUUUGAAACUUACAGAAACAACUCUCAACUUGUGAUUUUUUUUCCUGCAGACAAAAGGAAUAAAGAUGCUGUUUUGUAGUACGUAGGUGCAUGGCUUGGUGCAAGUUUCAAAGCUGAAGUUCAAGCUAACUAUGGGCUGUUCACAUAAUUAUCCCUCUUUCUUAAUUUUUUUACUUUCUGUGACGAAAUGACCCACUUCCUCUGAGAAACAUUGACAAUCCAGGAAUAAAUCAGCAAAUUUGUAGGCAAGAUAAAAAUAAUAACACAAAUAAUCAUUAAUCCACUAUCCACAUUGCAAUUUCCGUUCGAACAAAAUAGGAUACAAAAUUCAAGAAUAUUCCAUACCUGUCAUAAGUAAAAAAUAAUUAAACAAUACAAGACCAAGGCAAAUAAAAUUGUGUGCACCCAAAAGCUAAGAAAAUGCUUAAGUAUCUCCAACCAAAAAAAAUUUACAGUAGAUAUUUCUAAUAGCGCCACGAACUGUUUAAUAUUAAUGAACACAAGGAGACUUUCAGCAAUAUAAAUGAAGACUAUUGAAGAAGGUCCUAAAUACUCUACUUAAAUCUGAGAUCUAUCAAUCUAAUAUAAUUUUAAAAUGAGAUCUUGGCAGGAGUUAGUGUUAAUGCAAUAAUGAGGAGUGCAUGCUGAAUGUCUUUGUAUAAUACAACAGAAUAAUACAUUAAUGGGGCAGGAAAAAUAACCAGAAUUAUCAAUUUAGUUCUGAGCAGCUUAUUAGCAUU